CAAUUGCUCGAAUCACCCAGAUGGCACGGGCCGCAGGAAUACACAUGAUUGUCGCGACGCAGACGCCGCGCGCCGAUGUUGUCACGGGUGUGAUCAAGGCGAAUAUCCCAACGCGAAUUGCAUUUCAGGUCGCUUCAGCGCUCGAUAGCCGCGUGAUUCUUGAUGAAAAUGGUGCUGAACGGCUGGUUGGUCAGGGCGAUAUGUUUUACCGGCCACCGGGCACUUCACGGCUCAUACGGUCGCAAGGCGG
This 250-nucleotide unclassified non-coding RNA is filed under the name uncultured fungus. RNAcentral describes it as "sequence contains ITS1". Lineage: Eukaryota; Fungi. The record is from RNAcentral.